GUGGUUAAAUCUGCAGAAAGCACAGGGUCUUCAGUUGUCAAUUCUGUGGUUACCUCAACAUCAAGCACAGGUAACAUCUGCAAAUGAGCUUUAACAGAGCUUUAAUCAAAAAUAUAUUUUUGAAUGUCAUUUAUU
Non-coding RNA from Hydra vulgaris (swiftwater hydra), 135 nucleotides. The record is from RefSeq and is a predicted model, not a curated record. Lineage: Eukaryota; Metazoa; Cnidaria; Hydrozoa; Anthoathecata; Hydridae.